Molecule: long non-coding RNA, 1722 nt
Filed under: Nicotiana benthamiana
Lineage: Eukaryota; Viridiplantae; Streptophyta; Magnoliopsida; Solanales; Solanaceae
Description: long non-coding RNA (NBEN_LNC040758)
Source: RNAcentral
UUUGAACUUAUUUUUAUUUUCUUUUUCUUGAAAACACAAAAAUAGUCUCAUGUUCUAAUAUAGUUUAGUUUAUUUAAUUAGGCUUAACUUUUGUAUCGUUUAGUAUCUUUAUCUUAUUAUAAAAGGAGUCAAUUAAGGUGUUGAACUACAAUUUUAGGAGUUUUACAGCCCAAUUAUUGGGCCAAUUGUUAGCCCGUUAAAUCCAAUACCUAACCGCCAUCAACCUAAAUCUAAGAAUCCUUCUAGACUCUUUUAUAAAAAAAAAUAAAUAAAAACACCCUAGGAGGAAUGAGGUGAAAAUAAAUACAAAAAAAUACAACCUAAAACUUAGAGGACUAGAGACUAAAUCCACCGCAAGAAGGCAUCCGCCAUUUGGACCCUUCCUCAGCUUCUUCAUUCUGAAUAUACAUACAUUGAUACAAUCAGGAAAAGAAACAGGUCCUAAUCUUCUUCUUUAUCAACUACAACAAGAAACCUCGGACUUCAUCUCUUUCUUCACAAGACCCAAAAACCCCGGGAACAACAAUCCCUUCACCCAGAACCGCCGCCACCCCCACCUGACAGGACGCCGGCGACCACUCACUUCAACGUCGACGACCAACUUCACACCCCUCGCCAGCCACUCUCAGCCCCCGAACUCCAUCUUCUCGGUAUCCUUAGUCUUCAUCUUCUUAACCUAGGAGAUACACCAACAGACCCUCUGUUCCUCAACCUUCGAGCUCAUUAGAAAAGGGGCGACAACCAUUAAACACGAACAAGAGGGAAGUCAGCCCUGGCGCACCCUACCAGAACAUCUUGAAAACCAGUAGCCCAACCCCAUAACGCCGGCGACCACAUACGUACAACGGCAACACAACACCUCACAGCAAAGCUCCAAAACCAGUUGCUAUUUUCUCCAUAGAUCUAGACCUUAGAACUCUAGCGUUACAACUCAUUCUUCAAGUAAUAACGCAACAACAAAGCUAGCAAAUUCACUAGUUGUUGCUCCCUAUUUCACUCCCAAUACAGUUCCAAAGAGCCAUUGAUUUCAUGUUCAAAAUACGCCGGAGUUGAUCCAAGGAAUAUGCGGAGUUACGAGGUUUGUUUUCUGAAUCGAAAAUUUGGAUCCGUCAAUAGAAGGUCCAAUUCUUUUUUUUGUUACUCUAUCUUCUCAAUAUGAUGCGUGUGUUCAUGACUUAGUUCUAACUUGUGUGAUGUACUUAUCUUUUGAAAUGAUCUGAAGUUGUCUCACUAGCACAACUUAGUGAAUAUUCACAAGUAAAAAUUUCCAUUUUAAUUAAUCGCAAUGAUGGAUCAUAAUUUGUGAGAAAUAAAUCAAAUAACGAGCUAUUAUUUUAGUUGAAUAAAAAAUGCAAUAGGAUUAGGAAUCGAAGAAAUACAUAACUGGGUUUAUUGAUAAGUGCUUUACCGUUCCUAUUUUGUUAUUACUUGUUACUUAUUUAACACUAGGAGCAUGCUAGGCCGUCAACAUUUGGAUAAGCAAGACUUAGGAUUUUGUUAGAUUUGAGGCCGAGGUUGUUCCCUUAGUUAAAUUUAUUUGAGGAAUGCCCUAAGGGAUUCGUAUAUGUUAUUUCAGGGGUAUGCCCCGAAGUGGUGUAAAUGGAGGACAAAAGCAGAAACUUGUAAUAUAUUCCUUUUAUUUUCAUUUUUCUCUUUCUCUUAUUUAGGUUGGGACGACCUCGACAAUCUAGUGUGUUUAUUUUUCCUUUUCUGUAUUUUCUA